GGGUUGUGAGGUUAAGCGACUAAGCGUACACGGUGGAUGCCCUGGCAGUCAGAGGCGAUGAAGGACGUGCUAAUCUGCGAUAAGCGUCGGUAAGGUGAUAUGAACCGUUAUAACCGGCGAUUUCCGAAUGGGGAAACCCAGUGUGAUUCGUCACACUAUCAUUAACUGAAUCCAUAGGUUAAUGAGGCGAACCGGGGGAACUGAAACAUCUAAGUACCCCGAGGAAAAGAAAUCAACCGAGAUUCCCCCAGUAGCGGCGAGCGAACGGGGAGCAGCCCAGAGUCUGAAUCAGUGUGUGUGUUAGUGGAAGCGUCUGGAAAGGCGCGCGAUACAGGGUGACAGCCCCGUACACAAAAAUGCACAUAUUGUGAGCUCGAUGAGUAGGGCGGGACACGUGGUAUCCUGUCUGAAUAUGGGGGGACCAUCCUCCAAGGCUAAAUACUCCUGACUGACCGAUAGUGAACCAGUACCGUGAGGGAAAGGCGAAAAGAACCCCGGCGAGGGGAGUGAAAAAGAACCUGAAACCGUGUACGUACAAGCAGUGGGAGCACGCUUAGGCGUGUGACUGCGUACCUUUUGUAUAAUGGGUCAGCGACUUAUAUUCUGUAGCAAGGUUAACCGAAUAGGGGAGCCGAAGGGAAACCGAGUCUUAACUGGGCGUUAAGUUGCAGGGUAUAGACCCGAAACCCGGUGAUCUAGCCAUGGGCAGGUUGAAGGUUGGGUAACACUAACUGGAGGACCGAACCGACUAAUGUUGAAAAAUUAGCGGAUGACUUGUGGCUGGGGGUGAAAGGCCAAUCAAACCGGGAGAUAGCUGGUUCUCCCCGAAAGCUAUUUAGGUAGCGCCUCGUGAAUUCAUCUCCGGGGGUAGAGCACUGUUUCGGCAAGGGGGUCAUCCCGACUUACCAACCCGAUGCAAACUGCGAAUACCGGAGAAUGUUAUCACGGGAGACACACGGCGGGUGCUAACGUCCGUCGUGAAGAGGGAAACAACCCAGACCGCCAGCUAAGGUCCCAAAGUCAUGGUUAAGUGGGAAACGAUGUGGGAAGGCCCAGACAGCCAGGAUGUUGGCUUAGAAGCAGCCAUCAUUUAAAGAAAGCGUAAUAGCUCACUGGUCGAGUCGGCCUGCGCGGAAGAUGUAACGGGGCUAAACCAUGCACCGAAGCUGCGGCAGCGACACUAUGUGUUGUUGGGUAGGGGAGCGUUCUGUAAGCCUGUGAAGGUGUGCUGUGAGGCAUGCUGGAGGUAUCAGAAGUGCGAAUGCUGACAUAAGUAACGAUAAAGCGGGUGAAAAGCCCGCUCGCCGGAAGACCAAGGGUUCCUGUCCAACGUUAAUCGGGGCAGGGUGAGUCGACCCCUAAGGCGAGGCCGAAAGGCGUAGUCGAUGGGAAACAGGUUAAUAUUCCUGUACUUGGUGUUACUGCGAAGGGGGGACGGAGAAGGCUAUGUUGGCCGGGCGACGGUUGUCCCGGUUUAAGCGUGUAGGCUGGUUUUCCAGGCAAAUCCGGAAAAUCAAGGCUGAGGCGUGAUGACGAGGCACUACGGUGCUGAAGCAACAAAUGCCCUGCUUCCAGGAAAAGCCUCUAAGCAUCAGGUAACAUCAAAUCGUACCCCAAACCGACACAGGUGGUCAGGUAGAGAAUACCAAGGCGCUUGAGAGAACUCGGGUGAAGGAACUAGGCAAAAUGGUGCCGUAACUUCGGGAGAAGGCACGCUGAUAUGUAGGUGAAGCGACUUGCUCGUGGAGCUGAAAUCAGUCGAAGAUACCAGCUGGCUGCAACUGUUUAUUAAAAACACAGCACUGUGCAAACACGAAAGUGGACGUAUACGGUGUGACGCCUGCCCGGUGCCGGAAGGUUAAUUGAUGGGGUUAGCGCAAGCGAAGCUCUUGAUCGAAGCCCCGGUAAACGGCGGCCGUAACUAUAACGGUCCUAAGGUAGCGAAAUUCCUUGUCGGGUAAGUUCCGACCUGCACGAAUGGCGUAAUGAUGGCCAGGCUGUCUCCACCCGAGACUCAGUGAAAUUGAACUCGCUGUGAAGAUGCAGUGUACCCGCGGCAAGACGGAAAGACCCCGUGAACCUUUACUAUAGCUUGACACUGAACAUUGAGCCUUGAUGUGUAGGAUAGGUGGGAGGCUUUGAAGUGUGGACGCCAGUCUGCAUGGAGCCGACCUUGAAAUACCACCCUUUAAUGUUUGAUGUUCUAACGUGGACCCGUAAUCCGGGUUGCGGACAGUGUCUGGUGGGUAGUUUGACUGGGGCGGUCUCCUCCUAAAGAGUAACGGAGGAGCACGAAGGUUGGCUAAUCCUGGUCGGACAUCAGGAGGUUAGUGCAAUGGCAUAAGCCAGCUUGACUGCGAGCGUGACGGCGCGAGCAGGUGCGAAAGCAGGUCAUAGUGAUCCGGUGGUUCUGAAUGGAAGGGCCAUCGCUCAACGGAUAAAAGGUACUCCGGGGAUAACAGGCUGAUACCGCCCAAGAGUUCAUAUCGACGGCGGUGUUUGGCACCUCGAUGUCGGCUCAUCACAUCCUGGGGCUGAAGUAGGUCCCAAGGGUAUGGCUGUUCGCCAUUUAAAGUGGUACGCGAGCUGGGUUUAGAACGUCGUGAGACAGUUCGGUCCCUAUCUGCCGUGGGCGCUGGAGAAUUGAGGGGGGCUGCUCCUAGUACGAGAGGACCGGAGUGGACGCAUCACUGGUGUUCGGGUUGUCAUGCCAAUGGCACUGCCCGGUAGCUAAAUGCGGAAGAGAUAAGUGCUGAAAGCAUCUAAGCACGAAACUUGCCCCGAGAUGAGUUCUCCCUGACUCCUUGAGAGUCCUGAAGGAACGUUGAAGACGACGACGUUGAUAGGCCGGGUGUGUAAGCGCAGCGAUGCGUUGAGCUAACCGGUACUAAUGAACCGUGAGGCUUAACCUUACAACGCCGAAGGUGUUU
This 2930-nucleotide ribosomal RNA is filed under the name Escherichia coli. RNAcentral describes it as "23S ribosomal RNA". It matches the Rfam family "Bacterial large subunit ribosomal RNA". The record is from RNAcentral. Lineage: Bacteria; Pseudomonadati; Pseudomonadota; Gammaproteobacteria; Enterobacterales; Enterobacteriaceae.